UGGAUGGUGCGGGCCUGGGCUGCAUUAGAAGCAAAGGCUAAUCCAAUUGGCAGGAAGCAUGUCUGUAAGGUCUGGGAAGUGGACAAUGCCCUCAGAUUCUGAUUAUCUCUCCUACCUUGCAUCUGAAUCCAUGGCUUAGCAAUUUUGGAUGCUUCUAGGUCUGAUCCUCUAAAUUUCUCUGUUUGAUCAUUGUACUCUGCUCCGGUUAUGCUAUGAGGGUGGUUGCUGUUGCUCUGCAUAUUUGCUUCAGACGCUGUAGCUGCUCCUGGUUUUGCCUUACCGCUGUCUUGAAGACUCUGCAAUUUUGUCUGUGCCUCUGCCUGCAAUUUUUGCAAAGCCAUUAUGUUGAUUGGGAAGGAGGGCAGUAAAGUCUAUUGGAAAGUCAAUCUACCGCAGAAAAUUUUCAUAGGAAAAAGAUGGGGAGUUCUCUGUUUUUGGGUGACUGGAAGCAGGGGCUUGAGCUGGGAUAAAAUCCACUUGUCACAUAUCCUUUAGAUAUCUUGUGGCUGAGGCUGGCAGUUGAAACUCGAUCCAUAACGAUGUCUGUGGGUUGCACUGAACAUGCUAAGAGAUGGCAUUGCUUCCUUUUCAGUGGGUCUUGGACCUUCUCUUCUUGUAAUUACACUGCAACUUACAUUUUUGUAAACUUUUGCAUUUUCAACUUGUUAACUUAGCAUUUCAGAA
This is a long non-coding RNA of Magnolia sinica, 684 nucleotides long. RefSeq lists it as uncharacterized. Lineage: Eukaryota; Viridiplantae; Streptophyta; Magnoliopsida; Magnoliales; Magnoliaceae. The record is from RefSeq and is a predicted model, not a curated record. The transcript is spliced from 2 exons.